This 10195-nucleotide long non-coding RNA is filed under the name Medicago truncatula (barrel medic). RNAcentral describes it as "long non-coding RNA (MTRU_LNC003197)". The stretch from base 2611 to 2723 matches the Rfam family "MIR2593 microRNA precursor family". The record is from RNAcentral. Lineage: Eukaryota; Viridiplantae; Streptophyta; Magnoliopsida; Fabales; Fabaceae.
ACAAACAUUGUCCCUCCUUCAUUAAAUUUUCAUCCAUUUCAGCAGCAAUGGAGUCUAAUAGACCUUAUUUCAUAAUUCUCUGCACAUAGGUAAUAUUUCACAUGCAUAUUUUUUCCCAAUAUACAAUACAUUUUAAAUCAUUGUGCUCAGUUUUCACAUUAUACAGGUGGAUUGAAAUCUCAGAGAUCCUUUCUACAGUUUAUUUGGUUACACACCAAUCCCAGAGAUCCUUUCUACAGUUUUUUGAUAGCAUCCUAUGCCUGUUAUUUUGCAUGAUGCUCUUUGGCCUUAUAGGACUGCCUAUAAGACACCACUUGGUAUGUCUCCAUAUAUUUUGGUUUAUGGAAAUGUUUAUCAUUUUUCUAUUGAAUUAAAAUACAAGGCCAAGUGGGCUAUGAAAAAGCUGAACUUGAACUUAGGAAAAUCUAGCAGACAUAGGAUGCUACUACUCCUAGAACAUACUAUCUCCUCCGUUCCUUUUUAAUUGUCACUUUUGCAUAAAUUUUUUGUUUCUAAUUAACUGUCACUUUCAAAGUUCAAUGCAACAUUAAAUGUUGUUUUACCUUUAUUACCCUUGAUUAUUUAUUGUAGAGAGAUAAGUAUAUGAAAUAAGAUAUUAAAUGAUGAAGGUUUUUAUAGAAAAAAGAUGAAUUGUUGUAUCAAAAGUAGUAAAAUGUAUUUGUUGUCUUGGUUUGUGUAAAAAACUCAAAAGUGACAGUUAAAAAGGAACGGAGGGAGUACUAUGGUAAUUAUAAUUGAAUACUUAUAGUUGAUGAAGUCCUUGAUUAUUUUGAGGGAAAGUCUCUCUUUAUAGGGGACUAGAGGUAGUAGUCAGUUAGACUGUGAACUAAUAUAGACAUACAAUGUGGUUUCCUUUACCUUUCUCUCUAUUUUAUUUUGAUACAGGAUGUUCUUUAUGGUUUAACUCGAACUAGUUUGUUUUUCAAUAGAGUUAAAUGAUUUGAUAAAGAAGUUUAUGUGUUUAGGAAAACCUAUUAAAAAAUAUUUUAUUAUAAUAUCUUUCAUAUUUUAUGACUUGGAUUGAAAAAUGUGUUUUCUUUUAAGAUCUUAGUUUACUUAUUUUGUGCCAAUAUUAAAGUUUAAUGUCUAUUAUUUUUUAAUUUUGUCUUCUCUAAUAAGUAAUAUCGGGUUGGAAUAAAUGUAUGCUGAUUUGAUCAUAGACGUUCUGAUUAAUAUUGUAUAGAGCUGUCAAAACGGGCGGCCCGGCCCGUUUAGGGCCGGCCCUGAAGGGCUUCGGGCUUUAUCGGUCCGGGCCAAAAAGCCCGGUUGAAAAAUGGGCUUGAAAUAUACUAUCCGAGCCCGGCCCUACACGGGCCGGCCUGUAUUAAAAAUUUUAUAUAUAUAUAUAUAUAUAUUUUUUUUUUAAAAAAAGCACUAUAAAAUACUCCUAUAAUUUUUUUUGAUAAAUAAUAUCUAGAACAAAAAUAAAUUGUAAACAUUUUCGUACAAACGUCGUAAACUAAAACGGCGAGGAAAACAAUUUUAAAUAAAUUAGAUACGUUAUGGUUAUAGAUAUUUAUAUAUUCGAUCUUUAAAAUUAUAAAUAACGAAACAAGUAAAUAUAAUUUUAUAUUACAUGUAUAUUUGUGUCAAUUCAUUGAAUUUUCACUUUUAUUUAUUACUUUGAUAAUCAACUAAGUAAAGAAUUUUUUGAUAAAUAUAUAUAAUUUAUAGGAUUUUUUUUGUUAUGCGGGCUAGCGGGCUACCCUUGGCCCGUUCGGGCUGGCCCUAACGGGUAGCAGGCUUUUUAGGUCCGGGCUAAAAAGCCCUAUUGAAAUUCGGGCUCAAUAUUUAAGGCCCAAGCCCUAUAAUUAAUCGGGCUAAACGGGCCGGCCCAUACGGCCCGGCCCGUUUUGACAGCUCUAAUAUUUUACAAUGAUCAUGAUUUUAAAAUAUUAGGCAUUAAGGAAAGUUUUGUUAUUGUGGAUUUUUCAAAAGAUGAUGGAGAGUUACCUUGAUAUUAAAGGCUUUUGAAAACAUGAGUUUUUAUCUGCAAAUGAAUUUCAUUAUUUAACGAUAAAUAUCAAAUAUUUUAUUUUUAGUGUAGAGUGUCACAACAUCGAUCAUAUAAUAUUGUCAACAACAAAAUGCAUCUUAUGUUACUUUUAAUUUAGAAAAAAUUGUGUUGGCACCACUUAGGUUCAUUAUUUAUAAAAUUAGUUUUAUUUUUCGACGUUUAUCUUUAUUAAUUAUCAUUUCAGACUUAUCCCUUAUCUAUUAUGAAAGGCUAAUAUAAAUUAAAAAUAUAUAUAAUAAAAAUUUAAUGAGCAUCAAGUUUAAACACAACACAAUGAUCUAUUUUAAAGACCUUUAACAAUAACUUCAAUUUAUUAAUGAUCUCUUACAACUUCUUAAGGGUAAAAAACUAUUAUCUUGGUAUUAACAAAGCAAGAAAUUUUUAUUUAUAAAGUUUAAAAACACAUUUUAUUUAUUAGAUGUAAAGGAGAAAAAUAUGGCUCAAAUUCUUAAACUUGUUUAUGCUUUCACAAUCUUUCUUUUUAUAUUUCUUGUGGUAACCAAUGGACGUGAGUAGUUUCUGACAUUAAUUUCUUCUUAAUGUUAUAUACAUAAUAUUCCCUCCGUCUCAAAAUAUAAGUAAAUUUUACUUUUUAGGUUCAUUCAAUUAAUGAUGUAUGUGAUUUAUAAUAUGGACCACAUACAUCAUUAAUUGAAUGAACCUAAAAAGUAAAAUUGACUUAUAUUUUAAAACAGAGGGAGUAUUUCAUUACCUCGUGGUAACAUUGAUUUGUUGUUGUUUGACUUUGCAGAAGAAUGUAAAGAUGAUGGUGAUUGUCCAACAAAUAUGUGUCUCCCUUCUCUAGUUUCGAAAUGCAUUAAUUUUAUUUGUGAGUGCACACAUUCGAUGAGUACUGAUUAAUAUUAAAAAUACCUAUAUGUUAUUAAAAAGCAUAUAUUUCAAUGGGGUUUACUUUCUUGGCAAGUUUCCUUUUCUUAAAAAAUAAUAAUUUGUAAUAAGUAUACAAUUUAUUUGUACUUCAUAAUUUUCCUCACAGUUUGAUUUAUAUUUUUCUUGCCUUUAAAUUUCUUUGAGAAGCUCAAAAUUUUAUAGUUAUAUUAUAAAAAAAAUUGUUACAUUCGUUGAAUUAUAUAUGUUAUCUAAAAUAGUGGCGGAUCUUGCCAAAAAUAUUAGGAGGAGCAACAAAUACUAACAAAUUUUUUAAUACAAAUAAUACUACAGACAGGUACGUUAAACACAAAGUAUGCGAAGAGUAGAUAAUAAAUUUCACUUACAUAUCUAACAUUGAACUGAAACAUCAUUAAUAAAGUGCAUUUUAAUUGAAACAUCAAUAAGAAAUUUUGAAUUAAAACAUUGAAAUUCACAUGUUGAAUUGAAACUUUGUAAUGAAACAAUGAGUUAGAAACAUCAAUAAGAAAGUUUAACCAUUGUAUCAGUGUAAAACCUAUUUGACACAUUCCAAAUUCAUAGCAAUUCAAACAAUCAAACAAACCAAUUGCGAUUUCCGAAUUCCAAGUGAAGAAACCAAUAGAAUAUGGUGGUAUUUUGGUCAUUUCCUCUAAUAAAAACAAAGUUACCACAUGAUUUUAUUUCGACAAUUUCACUACAUGAUAUAAUAAUACUUUCAAAUGACAUGCAUCACCUUUACGAUCUAUCACAUCAAUACCUAAUAGAUUAUUCCACAAAAUACUCCUUAAUGAUUAAUGAGUCCCAACCUGGACUCCGUGCUAGAUUUAGGUGGAAUUCUUUUCCAAGACGAAUGCAUGAAUAUCUCAUUUUAACUAUCCUAAUCAGUUUCACAUCAAAGUGUGUACAUUUCCUAAAAAAAAAGUAUGUACAUUAUUUGUGUAUUAGUUGAAUUAAACCAAACAAAAAUACAACUAACAAUAAAAUUAAUAAAUAUUUCAAUACACAAAAUAUUUAAUUAAUUAGAAUUUAGAGUUAAUUAAUUAAUUUUAAUUUUUUAGUAUCUAUAUUAUUAAAGUAUCAAAAUUUGAGGUAAAAAAAUAAUGUUAUUUUAUUUAAAUUCAAAUUUAAUUUUAUAAAAGGAUCAUCUUUGUUUAUAAAAAUAUUUACUAAAAUUUGUCAAUAUUUUUAUGUUUCUUAUAUUAUGGCUUGUAUUUAAAUUUAAAUUUAAAAUUUGAAAAAUUAUUGAGUUUUUAUGAGUAACCUUGUCAACAUACUCAUUUUGUUAUCUCUUUAUCCCUUUCUCUCUGUUCUUCUAUGUUGUACAAUAUCUUGCAAUACAUUAAAUUAAUUUCAUAACACGUUAUCAACACGAAGCUCUAACAAUAUGAGAUUGAGUAUGAUAAAGAGUAUGAUAUAGUCAUAAACAAAAGCAGAAGAUUAAUCACAAUUUCUACAAUGAAAAGAGUUGAAGAAUCUAAAGAAGCAAUUUGAACAUUUGAUGGUUCUACAUUUGAUGGUUCUAGACCGUGAUUCAUGUUUGCUAAUGGUUCAUUACAUCUCUAUGUUUUUAAUUCUUCAUUUUGUUUCAAAUUUUGUUUUAGUGAAUUAUCUACAAUUUUUUAAUUUCUCAGUGUAUAGACUAUGAUAAUUAGGCAAGGGAUAGCUUUAAUUUCGCACCCAUGAAGCUUAAAAAUAUAGAACAUGCUUCAUGUCAAUUAUUAUUUUUAUUUUAUAUCGCACAUAAAUUUUGUUGAAAAUGCUCUUUAACUUAUAAUUAACAUAUCUUUUUUUUCUUUAUUUUUGUUAAAUUCCAGAAGAAUUCAACAACAAAUCAUCCCUGAAGGAUAGUUCAAACAAUGAAGAUAUUUUAUGAUACAGUUCUUGAAGAACUAAUUUUUUUUUCCUUUUAUUAUUAAAUCUCCUUGAAGGAUUUCUCAAAUAACGAAUAAUUUAAUUUUAAGAAUUCAUAAAAGAUUGCAAAAUAAAAAUAUUGUGAUUUUCCUUUGUUCUCGAUAGAUGUUUGUGGUGAGUUCUUGAAGAACUAGAUCUUUGUUAAUAUCUACUAAAUUUACAUUUUUGUCAUGCCAAUCUAUUAUAUUUUUAUUGAUUUUUAUUUAGUUAACACAUUAGUAUCUUUGAUAUUCUUAAUAAAUUUUUCAAUAAUUUAAUAUCGAGUAUCCCUGAAGGAUUGCGCAAAAGAAUUGUUCUUAAUCAUUAUAUAGAUCAUGUAUAAUAUAAUUCCUGAAGAAAAAAAAAAUUAAGAUUAAAACAUCUCUGAAAGAUUGGCAAACAAUCAAAUUUGUAUCCUUAUUUAUGAAGGUUAUAUAUAUAUAUAUAUAUAUAUAUAUAUAUAUAUAUAUAUAUAUAUAUAUAUAUAUAUAAUAGUUCUUGAAGAACUAAAUAUUUAAUAUUAAGCAUCCUCGAAGGAUAGCAAAAAUUAUAAUCUUCAUUGAUGUUGAUAGAUUUAUGGUUGAAAAUAAUAUCUAUUCUAUCAUUGUUUUAUUUUAAAAAAGUAUUGGAGAGUUACGCGUUAAGAAAGUAAUGUUGUUCUCGAAGAAUUAAUUUGUUAUUUUAAAGAUCUCUAAAGGAUCGCUCAAAUAAAGAAGUUUCUUGAUAAUUGUUUAUGAAGAUUUGAAAUAUAACUCCUGAAGAACUAAAAUUUAAUAUUAAAUCAUCCUUGAAGGAUUGCAAAAAUUAUGAUUUUACUUGCUUAUUGUUCAUAGAGGUUUGUGGAGUUCUUGACCACAAUUCAAAUAUAUAAGAUCUAUUUGAUCUUAGAAUAAAUUACAUCAAAAGAAUUCAAGAAAAAAUUAUUUAUGCAUCUUGAAUGUUCUCCUGAAGUAGAAAAAAUUGAGAAAAUAAUAUCAAGAAACUUCUACACAUCUCAACUUCUUGAACCAACACUAAUAUAAUAAACCAAGUACCAAGAUGAUAACCACACCAUGAACAAAAUAAAUAGUUACCCAGAGAUAAUAUAUUGUACACAUGUGAAUAAUUUCCAAUUCAUUAACUAAAAAACAGAAUGACCUGUAAAAUAUAAAAUCAUUUUAAAGAAAAAAAGCAAGAGCACAAAUGCAAAAUAAAUAUGAGAAAUGAUAUUUGAACAACCAUUUUUUGACAACUUUUGUGACACCUUUCUCUUUCAUACUCACAUUAUAUUUUCACUUUCUCUUUCUAUUGCUUUGGUUUUUGUGCCAAUCACUUAUUUUCUUUGUAAAAUUUUGUUUGUUGCAAGGGUUAUCAUAUAAAAUGAUGUUCAAAUAACACAACUCAACAAAUAUAUAUGAACAGCUAAACUAAUAUCAAAGUGGCACAUAUAGAUUGAAUAAGAAAGAUGCCACUUUUAGAACAAUGUUAAUGGUGAUUACUCAAAGCAAAUCUUGCCUAGUUACAAACGACACUAACAUAUCAGUAAAUCUAUGUUUACUAACAAUUGACUCAUACACUUUUACGUCAUAACCAUAUAUAAUAAGCAGAAAAUAUUCCUCCGAUUAACAUAGAAUUGAAAGAGAAUGAGACCCUCUUGGUUUAAUAUGUGCUCUACAUUUCCAACUUUAGUAGACCGUUUAAAACCAAAAUAUCAUUAAUAGGGGAUUAGGUUCUCAGAUGAAAGGUACAGGGGGCAGAUUUGAGCAAAAUUUUGUGAAGAUUAGUGCAUUCAGAUUUUUAUUUUAUUAGUAAAGGAUUUCAGUCUAUUUGAUUUGGUCUUGCAAACACAAAAAUGGUGGACAACAAUGAGUUAUAACAAGUAAUAUGAUUUAAACAAAACACAAAGCAUAGCAGGUGCUACAGUUGUAUUCAAACAUCCACAAUCCAUUAUAGUUUCACAUUUUCUUAGAAUGCCAAUCAGAGCAAAAGUAUUUCACUUUCGACUCUCUCUUUCCAUCUUCUCUCUUCUCACUUUUAACAGUACACAAAUCACACCACCGCCACCAUCCAGCACCUCGCACUCAGAUCUGAACGCCAUUAACGUCAUCUAUCACCAUAUCAUCUCACCGUCACCACCACCACCGUUGCCACCGUCCUCACCCUCUCUCGCCUCUGUAUUUGUUCUCUCUGCCUCACACUCUUCACCAAAACAAAACAUCAACAACCUUUUAAAAAAAACAAAACAGCAGUAAUUUCACAGAUGUCGGAAUGAUGCGACGGCGGAAACAGAGAAGGCAGAAACAGAGAGAAGGCGGAGAGAAGAAAUAGCGCAUCAAUGAGAGAGAAGAUGAGUACCAGUUAAACAAUGGUAGGAUACUGGAUGCUGUGAUGAGCCAUCACUUCACAGGGGUGAUGAAUGAGGCAAGCAAGAGCAAGGGAAUAAUGUAAUUUAUAGAUAGUAAUAACACAUUUCAUUGGAACCCUAAUGCUUUGGAAACAUGCCAGAACUGAAUAUAGAUGAAGUAGUUGGGAGAUUUGAAUUUCAAAAUCAUCAUUAAAUGCAUCUAGGUAAUUACAUAAGUUUUGGGGGGAUUAGUUGGGAGAUCUGAAUAUUAUAUUCUUAGCGCCAAAUCUGCUUGGUUUAGGGUUUUUUAAAUGUUGUUUGCAAAUGUACAUUUGGAUUAGAUAUAAAGAUAUUUUGGUUUAUGGAAAUGUUUAUCAUUUUUCUAUUGAAUUAGAAUACAAGGCCAAGUGGGCUAUGAAAAAGCUGAACUUGAACUUAGGAAAAUCUAGCAGACAUAGGAUGCUACUACUCCUAGAACAUACUAUCUCCUCCGUUCCUUUUUAAUUGUCACUUUUGCAUAAAAUUUUUGUUUCUAAUUAACUGUCACUUUCAAAGUUCAAUGCAACAUUAAAUGUUGUUUUACCUUUAUUACCCUUGAUUAUUUAUUGUAGAGAGAUAAGUAUAUGAAAUAAGAUAUUAAAUGAUGAAGGUUUUUAUAGAAAAAAGAUGAAUUGUUGUAUCAAAAGUAGUAAAAUGUAUUUGUUGUCUUGGUUUGUGUAAAAAACUCAAAAGUGACAAUUAAAAAGGAACGGAGGGAGUACUAUGGUAAUUAUAAUUGAAUACUUAUAGUUGAUGAAGUCCUUGAUUAUUUUGAGGGAAAGUCUCUCUUUAUAGGGGACUAGAGGUAGUAGUCAGUUAGAUUGUGAACUAAUAUAGACAUACAAUGUGGUUUCCUUUACCUUUCUCUCUAUUUUAUUUUGAUACAGGAUGUUCUUUAUGGUUUAACUCGAACUAGUUUGUUUUUUAAUAGAGUUAAAUGAUUUGAUAAAGAUGUUUAUGUGUUUAGGAAAACCUAUUAAAAAAUAUUUUAUUAUAAUAUCUUUCAUAUUUUCUGACUUGGAUUGAAAAAUGUGUUUUCUUUUAAGAUCUUAGUUUACUUAUUUUGUGUCAAUAUUAAAGUUUAAUGUCUAUUAUUUUUUAAUUUUGUCUUCUCUAAUAAGUAAUAUCGGGUUGGGAUAAAUGUAUGCUAAUUUGAUCAUAGACGUUCUGAUUAAUAUUGUAUAGAGCUGUCAAAACGGGCAGCCCGACCCGUUUAGGGCCGGCCCUGAAGGGCUUCGGGCUUUAUCGGUCUGGGCCAAAAAGCCCGGUUGAAAAACGGGCUUGAAAUAUACUAUCCGAACCCGGCCCUUCACGGGCCGGCCUGUAUUAAAAAUUAUAUAUAUAUAUAUAUAUAUUUUAAAAAAAAGCACUAUAAAAUACUCCUAUAAUUUUUUUUUUAUAAAUAAUGUCUAGAACAAAAAUAAAUUGUAAACAUUUUCGUACAAACGUCGUAAACUAAAACGGCGAGGAAAGCAAUUUUAAAUAAGUUAGAUACGUUAUGGUUAUAGAUAUUUAUAUAUUCGAUCUUUAAAAUUAUAAAUAACGAAACAAGUAAAUAUAAUUUUAUAUUACAUGUAUAUUUGUGUCAAUUCAUUGAAUUUUCACUUUUAUUUAUUACUUUGAUAAUCAACUAAGUAAAGAAUAAUUUAACAAAUAUAUAUAAUUUAUAGGAUUUUUUUUGUUAUGCGGGCUAGCGGGCUACCCUUGGCCCGUUCGGGCUGGCCCUAACGGAUAGCGGGCUUUUUAGGUCCGGGCUAAAAAGCCCUAUUGAAAUUCGGGCUCAAUAUUUAAGGCCCAAGCCCUAUAAUUAAUCGGGCUAAACGGGCCGGCCCAUACGGCCCGGCCCGUUUUGACAGCUCUAAUAUUGUACAAUGAUCAUGAUUUUAAAAUAUUAGGCAUUAAGGAAAGUUUUGUUAUUGUGGAUUUUUCAAAAGAUGAUGGAGAGUUACCUUGAUAUUAAAGGCUUUUGAAAACAUGAGUUUUUAUCUGCAAAUGAAUUUCAUUAUUUAACGAUAAAUAUCAAAUAUUUUAUUUUUAGUGUAGAGUGUCACAACAUCGAUCAUAUAAUAUUGUCAACAGCAAAAUGCAUCUUAUGUUACUUUUAAUUUAGAAAAAAUUGUGUUGGCACCACUUAGGUUCAUUAUUUAUAAAAUUAGUUUUAUUUUUCAACGUUUAUCUUUAUUAAUUAUCAUUUCGGACUUAUCCCUUAUCUAUUAUGAAAGGCUAAUAUAAAUUAAAAAUAUAUAUAAUAAAAAUUUAAUGAGCAUCAAGGUUAAACACAACACAAUGAUCUAUUUUAAAGACCUUUAACAAUAACUUCAAUUUAUUAAUGAUCUCUUACAACUUCUUAAGGGUAAAAAACUAUUAUCUUGGUAUUAACAAAGCAAGAAAUUUUUAUUUAUAAAGUUUAAAAACACAUUUUAUUUAUUAGAUGUAAAGGAGAAAAAUAUGGCUCAAAUUCUUAAACUUGUUUAUGCUUUCACAAUCUUUCUUUUUAUAUUUCUUGUGGUAACCAAUGGACGUGAGUAGUUUCUGACAUUAAUUUCUUCUUAAUGUUAUAUACAUAAUAUUCCCUCCGUCUCAAAAUAUAAGUAAAUUUUACUUUUUAGGUUCAUUCAAUUAAUGAUGUAUGUGAUUUAUAAUAUGGACCACAUACAUCAUUAAUUGAAUGAACCUAAAAAGUAAAAUUGACUUAUAUUUUAAAACAGAGGGAGUAUUUCAUUACCUCGUGGUAACAUUGAUUUGUUGUUGUUUGACUUUGCAGAAGAAUGUAAAGAUGAUGGUGAUUGUCCAACAAAUAUGUGUCUCCCUUCUCUAGUUUCGAAAUGCAUUAAUUUUAUUUGUGAGUGCACACAUUCGAUGAGUACUGAUUAAUAUUAAAAAUACCUAUAUGUUAUUAAAAAGCAUAUAUUUCAAUGGGGUUUACUUUCUUGGCAAGUUUCCUUUUCUUAAAAAAUAAUAAUUUGUAAUAAGUAUACAAUUUAUUUGUACUUCAUAAUUUUCCUCACAGUUUGAUUUAUAUUUUUCUUGCCUUU